Molecule: non-coding RNA, 753 nt
Organism: Paramuricea clavata
Lineage: Eukaryota; Metazoa; Cnidaria; Anthozoa; Malacalcyonacea; Plexauridae
Source: the annotation of a GenBank genome assembly
AUUCAUUCUGUCAGGGAACUUUACUUUAAAUUUAAAUUUUAAGCUAAGGUUACCGCUAAUCGGCUUUUGAGCAACCGGCGCCCGAAUAAUUAGAUUUAAGAUCAUAAGAUGUAUUCAGGUAAAUGUGUUCUUGCUUUUAAUUGCUUUCAGGUACUGCAGGAGAUUCAUUCACAACCCAUAAAGGUAUGGCGUUCACGACUAAAGAUUCUGACAAUGAUUCAAGUUCAGACAACUGUGCUGUUCAAUUCAAAGGCGCUUGGUGGUAUGGGUCAUGUCAUGCAUCCAAUCUAAAUGGUCUGUAUCAUCAUGGUGCACAUGGAUCGUACGCGGAUGGUGUCAACUGGUACGCAUGGAAAGGAUACCACUAUUCCCUCAAAGCCACAUCAAUGAAAAUCCGACCACGCUCGUUUGGACUGAAAAAGUGAACAUAACUUACAUUAGCACUACUUCGCAUGUAACUGCACAUAAAGUAUUAGAAUUUUAAAGACACCGAUAAAUUUCAAAAAAGAAAACGUAGCAAACUUAAUGUAAACAUUUUAAAAUAACUUUUUUUAAAUCAAAACAAAAACAGCCUGAAAUGUCAUGAAUAAGUCAUAUUAAAUUACAGUAAGCAGCACAAUUAACUGCACAAGCAACCGAUUUAUCAUUUUUAACAAAUGAAUAUGUAUUUUCUUGAAUAUAUAAUUUAAAAUAUAGUGAGUACCAGCAACCAACCAUUGUAGUUAUUGAAUUAGUAUACAUUAUAUUCCGAAU